GGGGCCUGGAGGUGAGAAUCUUUUACCCAGGAAAGGUGAAUCAAUUCCAACCCAAGGAACAAGUCUUCUCUAGUUAAUGCUGAUGUGGUCAAACUCCAGGAUUGUAGCUGCAAGACUUUCAGCUCUGGUCAAAAACAAUGGCAUCAGAGGGAGCAGCAUUUCUUGAGACUGUGAGGAUUAAAAUUCUCUGAAGACUGAAUAUUAAUUCAUAAUUAUUUAUUAAAUAGUAAAAAUGGGUUGGAGAGAGUAAAGGCACAUAAUCACAUGAUCUAGCUAAUUUAAGUUUGCCUGCUCACCUCAUAUCUCUAUACCACCCCUAUUGCUUCCUAACCAAGAGACUGAAAACUUCUUUGUUCCAUCACUUAUAACCCCUGUGACUUUACUUUUUCUGUCUCCCUGGUUACACUGGGUCAGAGGUCAGGCUUCUUCAUACUAGGAGUCACAUGGGAGAAGAGUUGAGCAUCUUCCAAGACACUCAGGAGGCAGGAGACCUCCAGCUUCAUAUAUUUGGAUACAGGCCCAAAUGGUGGGGCUGACACACAAAAGGAUUUUCAAAACUUUCUUUUCUAAAAGUAAAGUAGGGUAUACAUUUAUGUUAAAUUCCCACGAGAUCUACUCAGUUUCAUCUUUAAAAAAAGUUUCAGCUUCAGCUAGAGCUAAAGAAGACUGAUUAUGAGGCUCCUUGGUAUAUUCCUGCUGCUCUCCAUGGCUCUGUGCUGCUUCUUAGAUACUGUUCAAGCUACAGCAUUUCUCAGAGAGCCUACAUGUGAAUGCUCAGAAAUGUAUGACCCUGUCUGUGGCACUGAUGGACAAACAUAUCUCAAUGAAUGUGAAUUGUGUAGGGAAAAUAGGAAAAAAAUUAUUCCUGUCUGUGUCCUAAGAAAAGGGGUCUGCUUAGUAUCCCAAAGAUCCUGGUGCUCCCGUUACCAUAGCUAAUCAGACUGAGUUUUAAAUAAAUGCAUGAGAUUGAUUGCUGCUCUUUAUGUG
RNAcentral lists this long non-coding RNA (987 nucleotides) under Monodelphis domestica (gray short-tailed opossum). RNAcentral describes it as "lncRNA (ENSMODG00000044309.1)". Lineage: Eukaryota; Metazoa; Chordata; Mammalia; Didelphimorphia; Didelphidae. The record is from RNAcentral.